AGACAGUCUCCUCGUCUCCCUUCCCCCACCUGAGGUCAGCUUGGCAGCCAGGAUCUCAACCACCUUAAGAAGGCAAAGGAAGUGACCCAACAUUGAAGGAAGAGGAUCCUGGUCAUGUGUGUAGAAAUGCAGAAUGCAAAGUGUAAGGCUGCCUCUGGAACCCAGGAGACUGCAUUGGACCCAACACCAUCAUUUCUGCAUGGAGUGGAAGACACUUGCUGAAUGUAGCAUUGGGAAAAUCACAUGGAGAUGGACCUACAUGCCAUCUCAAUGCAAAGCAGGUUUCUCACGGUCACUGAAUUUUCAAGUUCUCCCACCAGGGUGGAUGGGGCAGAGGUGUGACAAAGAGGCAGUGUCUGCAGACAGAGAUCAAAAUGAAAGUUUGAAAGCCAUCUGAUGAGCUUAUUUGAAGAGGC
Molecule: long non-coding RNA, 416 nt
Filed under: Mus spicilegus (steppe mouse)
Lineage: Eukaryota; Metazoa; Chordata; Mammalia; Rodentia; Muridae
Description: lncRNA (ENSMSIG00000005890.1)
Source: RNAcentral